This 254-nucleotide ribosomal RNA is filed under the name uncultured bacterium. RNAcentral describes it as "partial 16S ribosomal RNA". It matches the Rfam family "Bacterial small subunit ribosomal RNA", at positions 524 to 776 of the family's 1533-position model. The record is from RNAcentral.
UACGUAGGCAGCGAGCGUUGUUCGGAGUUACUGGGCGUAAAGGGUGUGUAGGCGGUUGUUUAAGUUUGGUGUGAAUCUCCCGGCUCAACUGGGAGGGUGCGCCGGAAUACUGAAUGACUUGGAGUGCGGGAGAGGAGAGUGGAAUUCCUGGUGUAGCGGUGAAAUGCGUAGAUAUCAGGAGGAACACCGGUGGUGUAGACGGCUCUCUGGACCGUAACUGACGCUGAGACACGAAAGCGUGGGUAGCAAACAGG